Long non-coding RNA from Biomphalaria glabrata, 506 nucleotides. RefSeq lists it as uncharacterized. The transcript is spliced from 2 exons. NCBI's taxonomy places the organism in Eukaryota, Metazoa, Mollusca, Gastropoda, Planorbidae. The record is from RefSeq and is a predicted model, not a curated record.
UAUUACAGUCAAGUCUGUAGGGAGACAGAAAUAGAGAGAUCACUUGAAUACAAAGGUGUCUGGUUGGAGAUUUAAAAAAUAUAUCCUUCUAGUUCUUGUCAAUUGGUUGCAAUAUUGGAUCAUAAAAGUGAAUAUCUAGAUUUCUUAUAGAGAUACUAGCUACUACUAACUAUCCAGACACGACGUAGAAUGUUUCGUCUCCUAAACGGACACAACAGAAUGAAGCGACACAUGUUCCGGACAAUGGAAAUGGACACUACCGAAACCCAUCCUUGUGGAGUGUUAUUUGAGAAUGAAGACCAUGUCCUACAAAACUUCAAACUUUAUCGAGAGUUCCGGUCUCUCAAACACCUGUAUAGAAGAAAAUCUGUUUGGAGAGCUCCCUGACCUGGGAACUACUGCACAGGCUGUAGAAAUAACCUAAGACCAGUUUUCUCAACCUCCGACAUGAUGAAGAGACUUUAGAAGAAGAAAAAAAAAAUUAAAUCAUGAUUUAUUUAAGCAAA